CAGUAGCCACGGGAAUACGGAGGGUGCAAGCGUUAAUCGGAAUUACUGGGCGUAAAGCGCACGCAGGCGGUCUGACAAGUCAGAUGUGAAAUCCCCGGGCUUAACCUGGGAACUGCAUUUGAAACUGUCAGGCUGGAGUCUUGUAGAGGGGGGUGGAAUUCCAGGUGUAGCGGUGAAAUGCGUAGAGAUCUGGAGGAAUACCGGUGGCGAAGGCGGCCCCCUGGACAAGGACUGACGCUCAGGUGCGAAAGCGUGGGGAGCAAACAGGAUUAGAUACCCCGGUAGUCCCUGUCUCUUAUAC
This 301-nucleotide ribosomal RNA is filed under the name uncultured bacterium. Its description in RNAcentral is "partial 16S ribosomal RNA". It matches the Rfam family "Bacterial small subunit ribosomal RNA", at positions 509 to 807 of the family's 1533-position model. The record is from RNAcentral.